GACGAACGCUGGCGGCGUGCUUAACACAUGCAAGUCGAACGGAAAGGCCUGCUUUCCCUUGUGGAUUGCGGGUACUCGAGUGGCUAACGGGUGAGUAACACGUGAGUGAUCUGCCCCCAACUUGGGUAUAAGCCUGGGAAACUGGGUCUAAUUCCCGAUAGGACUGCAGGGUGGUGCCUGUGGUGGAAAACGAUUUUCUAGUGGUUGGGGAUGAGCUCGCGGCCUAUCAGCUUGUUGGUGGGGUAAUGGCCUACCAAGGCGGCGACGGGUAGCCGGCCUGAGAGGGUGGACGGCCACAUUGGGACUGAGAUACGGCCCAGACGCCGACGGGAGGCAGCAGGGGGGAAUAUUGCACAAUGGGCGGAAGCCUGAUGCAGCGACGCCGCGGGGGGGAUGACGGCAUUCGGGUGGUAAACUCCUUUCGACCGCGAGGAAGCCACCUGGUUGGAAGGGUGGUGACGGUAGUGGUAGAAGAAGCACCGGCUAACUACGUG
Molecule: ribosomal RNA, 494 nt
Filed under: uncultured bacterium
Lineage: Bacteria
Description: partial 16S ribosomal RNA
Rfam family: Bacterial small subunit ribosomal RNA
Source: RNAcentral